This 289-nucleotide RNase P RNA is filed under the name human gut metagenome. Its description in RNAcentral is "Bacterial RNase P class A". It matches the Rfam family "Bacterial RNase P class A", at positions 36 to 362 of the family's 367-position model. From Rfam's summary of the family: Ribonuclease P (RNase P) is a ubiquitous endoribonuclease, found in archaea, bacteria and eukarya as well as chloroplasts and mitochondria. The record is from RNAcentral.
CAAGUUCGAGGAAAGUCCGUGCACCAAAGAGCAGGAUGCCGGAUAACGUCCGGUGGAGGUGACUCCAAGGAUAGUGCAACAGAAAGAAACCGCCGAAAGGCAAGGGUGGAAAGGCGGGGUAAGAGCCCACCGGCGCCCUGGAGACAGGGCGGCCCUGUAAACCCCAUCUGGUGCAAGAAUAAUGCCGAAAUGCGGCUGCUCGCCGCGGCUAAUCAUCGCUAAAGUCUUCCGGCAACGGAAGAAAGAGAUAGAUGACGAUCAUAACAAAACACGGCUUACGGGUUUGCUU